Molecule: long non-coding RNA, 742 nt
Filed under: Gallus gallus (chicken)
Lineage: Eukaryota; Metazoa; Chordata; Aves; Galliformes; Phasianidae
Description: long non-coding RNA NONGGAT011691
Source: RNAcentral
UUGGGUGGCUGUGAGUUCUGGAACAGGAGCAGCGCGAAAGAAACAAAACCAAGGCAGCAGACAUAACAACACCGUCAGUUAUUCACAACAUCCACGAUGGUUGGGGUCACCCCGCCCUCGGCUGCAGCAGACUCCGACUCUGCCUAUUCUCAGGCUCUGUCAAGGAGAUGUACGCCGGCUGUGCAGCCCUGCCACGGCUCACGCAGUGCACAGAAGGAGCAGGCAGCGUUAGCGAAGGAGAACCCUGGCCUUGCAUCUGUUUACAAAUGUCCUACCAGCUGUGCACAAAAGGUAUUUUGUUGAAGGUGGAAAAUGCCUCAAAAUCCACACCUACUGAGCAUUCAAUGCCCAAAGUGAUUGUGCAGCAGACCAGAGGUGCAUCUCCCAUGGAAGACAGUGAUGUGACAGAACAGGAUAUCGAAAAAAAGCCAAAAUAUUGAGGAUGGAGUCACCUUGCUGUAUUUUUCCUCCAUCCGUCUGUUCUACCUCUCCAGCUUGCUGAGAACUGCCCUUUAGCAAGUGUUUGCAUUGCCACAUAGUGUACACACAGUGCUCCCACGAAGGAUGAAAGGUUUCAAGUGCACAGGUGAAGGUGCAUACAGGAGAAAAUGCAUUACCAACCUGUCUGUUUGCUGCCUGACAGCUGCUUCUUUUGAGGCCAUGGGGGACGGAGGCUCACAGUGAUACUCAGGCCUCCUGCAUGAGGUACUGCUUGGUCUCCAAAUACAACAGGAGUGUCCUG